Molecule: long non-coding RNA, 4350 nt
Organism: Marmota monax (woodchuck)
Lineage: Eukaryota; Metazoa; Chordata; Mammalia; Rodentia; Sciuridae
Exons: 2
Source: RefSeq, a predicted model, not a curated record
UUUGCCAGUUUCCCUGCUGGUUAAUGGUUAGAGGGGGGACAGUGGCCUUUACCGUUCGGUGGUCCCCACCCCCCAGUCGUUAGCCAAUGGGAGGCUGUUCAAGAAAUUUAAGUAAACACAGCAAUGUACAAAUCAACUUUCUUCUGAAGUUUUAUUUUUUAAUAUCAAAAUGUGGCUGGGGUUGCGACAGUGUUUGUGGUCACCCUGCGGCAGCUGGCAGAGAAGUCACAGGUGCCCUUAAUAAAGAGCCAAGCCACGGACACCUGUGGAAAACCCGACAUGCGGCUGCAGCUGGGGAUAAAGCAGGGGAGCCCUGCCCUCCAGGGGGCCUCAGUUUGGUGGGAGAGACAGACGUGUGACAUCUCCAAGGGUCCCCGCGGGUGACCUCUCUUGGUAUUCACAGAGCUCCUGUGAAUGAAGUGCUGUGGUCACCCUUCUUCAGAUGAGGAAAAUGAGGUGCACGGAGGUGACUCAUGUAAUGGUUCUGUUAGAAGGACUAUGUGGGGACACCACAAAGAGGGAGAGGAGAGCAGCUGAGUCUUACCUUCCAGGUUCCUGCCAACGUGCCACAGAGGAGUGAAGUCAUCUUGGAGAAGUCAGACCUGACAGCCCCACUGAGUACUUUUGAGUGGUCCCGGUUGAUAUCAUGUGGUCUAGAAGAAUCACUCAGUACCAAAUUCCUGACCUAAAAAUUAUGAGUAAUAGCAAAAUUGUUCUUUAAGCUGCUGAAGUUUGGAAUCAUUGUUAUAUAGCAACAGAUAACCAAAAUAAAAUUUUUAGGUUGUAUAGUUUGCUUUAGUAAAUGCUGCCGGUUCUUCAAAAUGAUUAAACGGAUUUAUGCAUCUAACAAAAGGGUGAGAGAGAUAUAAUUGCUUCACAGUCUUGCUGAUAAUUAAUGCUGCCAUAUUUUCAAUUUAGCCAUUUUGGUGUGUAGUGAUAUCACAUGAAAGUUUCAGAUUGUGUUUAUUUGAUGACGAAUGAGGUUGGUUACCUUUUACUAAUUUCCCUUGUCCAUUGGAGGUGUUCUUUAACAACACUUUUCCAGAUAGAGGUAUAGGCAUCACUCAUGAAAGGGGAACAUUCUGUGAAAUAUGUUGUUAGUGACUUCAUUGUUAUGUGAACAUAAGAGUAUACCUAAUGCAAAUGUAGGUAGCUGUGAUGUCCUAGGCAAUACAAUCUUAUGGGACCACUACUGUAUAUAUGAUCUACCAUUGACCAAAACGGUGUUAUGAAUAUCAUUGUGUAUGUGAGAAUGUAUGUGGAAAGCAAAAUACCUUCUCUAAGUUUGUGGCUUAUCUUUUCACUCUCUUACUGGAAUAUUUUGAUAAAAAUAGUUCAUAACUUCAUUGAAGUCUAAUUCAUCCAUUUUCUUUUAUAGUUAAUGCUACUUUUGUCCUAUUUAAGAAAUAUUUGCCUACUUUAAUAUUGAGAAGGAUUCUCUUAUAUUUUCUUUUAAAGGCAUUAUAGAUUUAAAUUUCAAUUUAUCUAGACUCGAUUUUCAAAUAUGGCGUGAAGUAGAGUUCAAAUAUAUCUCUCUCCAAAUGUAUGUUGGCACCAUUUAAUGAAAAUAGAAAUUGUGUUCUUUAAAAAUGUCCCUAGUGGACUGGGGAUGUAGCUCAGUUGGUAAUGCUUCCCUUGCAUGCACGAGGCCCUGGGUUCAGUCCCCAGCACCACACACACACACACACACACACACACACACAACACACGUCACUAUCUGAUUCCUGGCUUCCAUGAGCUGAGCAGCUUUAUUUCUCAUGCCUUCCCACCAUGUUCUGCCUCGCCUGGGGCCCAGAACAAUGGAGUUGGUUGACCAUGGACUGAACCUCUGAAACUAUGAGCCCAAAGUAAACUUUUGCUCCUCUAAGUUGUUCUUGAUAGAUAUUUUGGUCACAUCAAUGAAAAACUGACCAACACAGAAAUUGGUUCUAAGACACGGGUUUGUAGCUGUGACAAUAUCUGACCAUGUGGUUCAAAAGACGUUAGUACAGGUUUGCAGGAAGAGUUUGGAACAAUUUGGAGAUGCAGGCUAGAGAAGACUUAGAAUGCUGUAUGCAGAGCUUAAUGGGAGAUUCUGGUGUAAGCUCAGAAGACCAGAAUGCUGAUAUGAUUGUGAACGGUAAAGACUGUGCUCAUGAGAUUUCACUGGGGAAUGGGGACUUUGUUGGGAAUUGAACAAGAGGCCAUUUUGAUACAUUCUGGCAAAGAACUUGUCUACAUUUUGUCCAUGUUCUGAGACUUUGUUGAGGCCAAGUUUAAAGGUAAUGGAUUAAUCUGGUAAAGACAAAUUCAAGGCAGAAUAGCACUCAGGCAAUGGCAUGGAAGUAGCUAUCAGCUUUUAGACAGAUUUACUGUUGCAAUUGGGAGCAGAAAGCAGAAAAGAAAGAUUUAAAAACUCAAAGUUUGGUCAGAAAAAUGCAUGUAAAACUGGGGCCAGGGAUGUUGUUGCUAAAGAGAUUACCACCAUUAAAGAGAAGCUAAGCAUUUUGCCCAGAGACAAUAGGAAAGUUGUCUUGAAGGAAUCUCUAGAAUAAGUAAGAUCAUACCAUUGCAGGCUCAAGGGUGUAAAUGUGAAAAUUCAUUUGAGGAGAGACAAUGGGGGUACCCUGCUUGCACAGAGGUGCCCAGGAGGUUGUUUUCCAAUAUUUGUCUCAUGAUGCUUAGUUUCCUGGGCACUCAGAGGCUGUUGCAGCUAUGGUCAAAGGUAGUGUGUCUAGUGUUCAGUUUGGUGGCUGACCUUGACAUUGUUCACAGGACACUGGUUCUGCAGGAAUGCAGGAUGCUGGAGUUAUGGGGUUAUGGAAGCUCUCUCCAAUAUUCCAAAGGAAGGCCUAGAAGGUCAGGUAGUGUGCAUGAGGGUUGUAGUACCUGCAUGAGGCCCCCAAGGGAGCAAUGCAUGAAGCUGUGAGAAUGAAGCCAAAGCUGAAAUGGAGACCACAGGGCUUAAGAGAUGCCAGGAAGGUGGGACAUCUGCUGAAGAAAGCUGCAGCAGGGGAGUAGAGCCAGGCCCAGAGAGAGGCCAUGUGGGAUGCAGCUGGAAAGGCCAUCAGACCAGGGCUGCAUAUGUCCUUUGGGGAUUGCAUUUCACCACCAUGUUUUGCAGAUGCUGGGUGUGAUUCUACUGCAUUUGUUUGCCCACCUGGGUUUCGGUCUUGUUUUAGUCCUACCCCUUCUAUCUCUGUCCAUAUUCCACCCUUUUGAAAUGGGAAUGUUUACUCUUUGCCAUUGUAUAUUGGAGCUUGCUUUUAAUUUUUACAGGGGUUCACAGCCAAGGGUUUGUCUUGAGCCUCAAAUGAUACUUUGGACUUAAACUUGAGCAAUAGUGGGAUUGUUAAGACUAUGGUGAUUCUUGGAGAUGGAAUGCCUUUUGUGUCGUAAGAUGGGCAUGUGUUUUUGGGGACCAGGGUGGAAUGCUAUGGUUUGAAUGUGAGGUGUUCCCCCAAAAGCUCAUGUGUUAGAUAAUGAAAAAAUUUUCAGAAGGUAAAUGAUUAGAUUAUGAGACAUGUAACCUCAUCAGUGGAUUAAUCCACUUUAUGGAUUUAUUAUUUGAAUGGACUUCUGGGUGGCAACUGUAGGCAUACCUGGAGGAAGUGGGUCACUGGGAGCAUUAUAUCUUGAAUAUGGCUCCUCACUCUCUCUCUCUCUGCUUCCUGGCUGCCAUGAACUGAGCAGAGAUCCUCUACCAUGCCCUUCUGCCAUAAUGUUCUGCCCACCUUUGGCCCAGAUCAGUGUAGUCAGCUGACUAUGAACUAAAUCUCUGAAAGCAUGAGUUCAAAAUAAAAUUUUCCUUCCUCUACAAAGAAUGUUAGUAUCAUAAAAGAAAAUAAUAUGUUACCCUAUUAGAGGAGACUAAAGAGACACAACAUCUGUGAUGCUGUGAUUUCUGAGAAGGAGGUGGUCCUUUUAAAGGGCUUUGUCAAGAAGCUCCUCCCAGGGAUUGGGAAGAUCCACUGAAAGUCCAGCAAAUCACCCUUGGUGACUUAUUAAAUGCAGAACCUAAGCCCUUUACAGAGGAAGCAUGAGUUGUGCUAUGGAGACAUUAUUGAGACAAUUGACAAAAUUGGAAUAUGGAUAGUAUAUUAGAUUCAUGACAAAUUUCCUGAAAUUGGUAGCUUUACUGAAAAAAUAAUAUCUUAAAAAUUUGGGAGCUAUUUACUGAGUUAUUUAAGGGUAAAGGAGUAUGAUGUAAAUUUAUUCAACAUAUUAUGAAAAGAUGCAAAUAUAUAUGCACACAUGUGUGUGUGUUGGGAGGGGAGUGUUUAUGGGACAAGAGGAAGGGCAUAUGGGUGUUUGUACUAUUUUUGUUCUUGCAACUUUUUAUUUCCAAAUAAAAUUAUUUCCAAACAUGAA